GUUCGAACCAGAGCGAACGCUUUCAAUCGCGAACGACUCUAGUGAAUCGUGUGGAUCGUGAUCGUGAUCGUGAUCGUUUCUUAGGUGAACAUUCCAUCUGUGAAAAGCAUCGAUUAUGGCGAGUCAAGCGAUACCUAUGUCAGAUUAUCCUAGGCAAACCAAUCCUGCGACUGCAAAUACUGUGACUGUCAUCCAAAUGCCACCAGCACAGAGGCCCUUCUUUAAAUGUACACGAGCUGCCAAGAUUGCCACAGCCAUCGUAAUAGCAGGCAUAGUGAUCUUAAACAUCCUGAGAGUCUGCCUUCUGUAAAAUGGAGAAUAUAUUUCUACCGAGAAUCGAGGAGAUGGAUAAUCUACCGAAUUUUGGAGUUUGUGUUCUACUAUCACUAGACACAGUCGAUUCAAUUACUAAGCUCGUCGGCCUGCUGGAACCACGCGAAAUCUCCCAACCAGCAUAAUCUCAAACUACUUAUGAUGAGAACAAUACAAGUGUAUAAUAAGUGUAUAAUAUAAUGAGUCGCUCCAACCGAACCAUCGAGCAAACUGUCAAUCAAUUUACCAAAUUCAUCGAUCUCUCCGAACUAUAUAUAGGAAGCAGACGCAGGACAAUGAAACAAAAUUGUUCGAGUCGAAUCAAAGGACACAUUAACGGCCAUUUUUCGCGGAAGAACUCGUCGAUCGUUGGAGAAGGACAUGGAUGGAAUUAAAAUGUAAAUAGGAAUCGUUGAAAUUGAAUCGAAAGAAACUUCGAUAUCAAUUCUUCCCGGAAGAACUCGUCGAUCAAUGGAGAAGAAGCAGGAUGAAAUGAGAAUGAAAAUGUAAAUGAAGUACAAUAUGAAAGAGAAUUGUACCUGUGCAGUUCUUUAGACAGUCUUCACUUUUUGCCUCGGGAGUAAAAAUCGUCCGAAGAAUUGUGGAAGCAGGAAACCAUUUGUGCGCGAAUAAAAUAUAAAUUCGUUCUACAGUCGGCAGGAAGAGCAUGAAAUAAAUUCGAUAUAGUACAAUAUAUUCAAGAAACUCUGCAGUGGAGAUUAAAGCAACGGGAGAUGCAAUAAGAAGAACACUGCGAAGAACUUUUUGAUCAAAGACGCGUCUUCGCCGAUGCGCUUCCGAUUUCGAAUGAGAAAUCUAGGAAAUACGAAAACAUUUUCUAGGAAGAAAAUAAUUAAGCGAACGAAAUGCACGUCUGGCGUGCGGAUUAAAAUGGCGAUACAUUCAAGAGGCGUUAACGAACGUCCCGGCAAACCGAAUUGCAGAUCCCUGGACGAGACGAGCUGUGGACCAUUCCCGAUUUCUGCAGGCGUUUCGGGAAUCGCAGCGUUUCGAAAUCGUCUUAAGUGUCCGAUAAGCAGCUAGUUAUUAUCCGAGCCGGUUUGCACAUCCGGUUGCCGAACCGUUGCAGCUGAGGGCCGAUUGCACAAAUCCGGAUUAUCCUUCGGCUGUGCGAAUAAUGCUGAAGAUCGUUCCCGAGGCUGAUGCCGUUCAGACGAAAUUUAUGCGAGCAGUUUCUCUGCUCAUCUGCCUUGACAGUGCCCGGGGAACAAUUGACGAAACCGAAAGUCCCUAUUGCUAUCGCUCUUCGACUUCUGAUCCGCGUGGGCGAUAAUAAAUCCGCCCUGUGAUCGUAUACCGUGGAUUUUUUAUGUAUUUGCAACAAAAUUGGGAACCGUAUCGUGACAAACUCGUUGUAAAUAUUAUAAAAGUGCAUUUGGAAAUGUUUUGUUCUCAACGUUCGUCGAUUAAAAUAAACUUGAAUUUAAUUUUUCUCGUGGGGAAUUACUCUAAUAAUAACGUAAACAUUCUAACUGGCUCAUUUGUGGAAAAAGUAAUAGAGCAAGGAGUCGUGACAAUGUAAGAGUACAUUAAUUUCAAUUUAAUAAAGUGGUCGAAGAAGCAAA
Long non-coding RNA from Megalopta genalis, 1898 nucleotides. RefSeq lists it as uncharacterized. NCBI's taxonomy places the organism in Eukaryota, Metazoa, Arthropoda, Insecta, Hymenoptera, Halictidae. The record is from RefSeq and is a predicted model, not a curated record.